UACGAAGGGUGCAAGCGUUAAUCGGAAUUACUGGGCGUAAAGCGUGCGUAGGCGGUUUGUUAAGUCUGCUGUGAAAUCCCCGGGCUCAACCUGGGAAUGGCAGUGGAUACUGGCAAGCUAGAGUAUGGCAGAGGGGGGUAGAAUUCCACGUGUAGCAGUGAAAUGCGUAGAGAUGUGGAGGAAUACCGAUGGCGAAGGCAGCCCCCCUGGGCCAAUACUGACGCUCAUGCACGAAAGCGUGGGGAGCAAACAGG
Molecule: ribosomal RNA, 254 nt
Filed under: uncultured bacterium
Lineage: Bacteria
Description: partial 16S ribosomal RNA
Rfam family: Bacterial small subunit ribosomal RNA
Source: RNAcentral